Triticum aestivum (bread wheat) is the source of this 630-nucleotide long non-coding RNA. RefSeq lists it as uncharacterized. The transcript is spliced from 3 exons. Lineage: Eukaryota; Viridiplantae; Streptophyta; Magnoliopsida; Poales; Poaceae. The record is from RefSeq and is a predicted model, not a curated record.
AGGCUCACACAGUCGUCACAAUUCGGCGGGGGCUCCAGACAGAGGAUCCAACCGUCGCGGUCGGGCGAGGGAUCGAGAGUUGCGCAAGGAGAUCCAGCAGACGAGUGGGAUGCGAGUGAAUUCGGCGACGAGGGAUUCAAUGGGCGAUGCGAAGGGGCGUUGAUGCGCGGAUGUAGAGAGUCGGAGCAGCGGAGGAUCGUUACAAUCAAUAAUGGCGGUCGAGGCGCGUUACUCUCCGGCGCCGACGGUGGAUGUGUGUGUUACAAUCCCGCUGCCACAUCCUCCUUAGUUCACGCCCAGAUUAAAGUUGUUGGAGGCCCUUCACAUCUUUGGUCGCCUCAAUCCGCCAAUUCAAUAGUCAGCAGUCGUCGUGCACUAGGCCUUCAUCUCCUGCUCGAGAUAAUGUGGCGGAUCUUGUUCUUUUGUUCUUGGAGCAUGCAGUUCAUGUGGAGGAUCUGUCGUGUGUAAAUGUCUUGUGUGCUGAUCCAAGGUCCAAAAGCGCAAUGAAGAGGUGCCGGUGAGAGAUAAAUCCUAGGACCAUACUCCAUGUACUUUCCUCCAUUUAUCUUUCCGUGAAAUCUUUUUUUUUUCACAUUGAGGAUAUGCGCUUCACCUUCAUAAUGUGUAUAC